RNAcentral lists this ribosomal RNA (448 nucleotides) under Escherichia coli. Its description in RNAcentral is "partial 23S ribosomal RNA". It matches the Rfam family "Bacterial large subunit ribosomal RNA", at positions 1 to 453 of the family's 2925-position model. Lineage: Bacteria; Pseudomonadati; Pseudomonadota; Gammaproteobacteria; Enterobacterales; Enterobacteriaceae. The record is from RNAcentral.
GAUAAGGUUAAGUGAAUAAGGGCGCACGGUGGAUGCCUUGGCACUAGGAGCCGAUGAAGGACGGGACUAACACCGAUAUGCUUUGGGGAGCUGUACGUAAGCUAUGAUCCAGAGAUUUCCGAAUGGGGGAACCCAACAUCUUUAAUAGGAUGUGUGAAUACAUAGCACAUUCGAGGUAGACGCAGAGAACUGAAACAUCUAAGUACCUGCAGGAAGAGAAAGAAAAUUCGAUUCCCUGAGUAGCGGCGAGCGAAACGGGAAAAGCCCAAACCAGCAAGCUUGCUUGUUGGGGUUGUAGGACUCCAAUAUGGUAGUUCUUUCAGAUAGUCGAAUGACUUGGAAAAGUCAGUCAAAGAGGGUAAAAACCCCGUAGACGAAAUGUGGAAGACACCUAGGAGGAUCCUGAGUACGGCGGAACACGAGAAAUUCCGUCGGAAUCCGGGAGGAC